This 750-nucleotide ribosomal RNA is filed under the name Bacillus cereus. Its description in RNAcentral is "bacterial SSU rRNA". It matches the Rfam family "Bacterial small subunit ribosomal RNA", at positions 50 to 782 of the family's 1533-position model. The record is from RNAcentral. Lineage: Bacteria; Bacillati; Bacillota; Bacilli; Caryophanales; Bacillaceae.
UAUUCAUGCAGUCGAGCGAAUGGAUUAAGAGCUUGCUCUUAUGAAGUUAGCGGCGGACGGGUGAGUAACACGUGGGUAACCUGCCCAUAAGACUGGGAUAACUCCGGGAAACCGGGGCUAAUACCGGAUAACAUUUUGAACUGCAUGGUUCGAAAUUGAAAGGCGGCUUCGGCUGUCACUUAUGGAUGGACCCGCGUCGCAUUAGCUAGUUGGUGAGGUAACGGCUCACCAAGGCAACGAUGCGUAGCCGACCUGAGAGGGUGAUCGGCCACACUGGGACUGAGACACGGCCCAGACUCCUACGGGAGGCAGCAGUAGGGAAUCUUCCGCAAUGGACGAAAGUCUGACGGAGCAACGCCGCGUGAGUGAUGAAGGCUUUCGGGUCGUAAAACUCUGUUGUUAGGGAAGAACAAGUGCUAGUUGAAUAAGCUGGCACCUUGACGGUACCUAACCAGAAAGCCACGGCUAACUACGUGCCAGCAGCCGCGGUAAUACGUAGGUGGCAAGCGUUAUCCGGAAUUAUUGGGCGUAAAGCGCGCGCAGGUGGUUUCUUAAGUCUGAUGUGAAAGCCCACGGCUCAACCGUGGAGGGUCAUUGGAAACUGGGAGACUUGAGUGCAGAAGAGGAAAGUGGAAUUCCAUGUGUAGCGGUGAAAUGCGUAGAGAUAUGGAGGAACACCAGUGGCGAAGGCGACUUUCUGGUCUGUAACUGACACUGAGGCGCGAAAGCGUGGGGAGCAAACAGGUUAGC